UCACCCUUCAAGCCCUCGGCUUGGUGUUGGACGGUUUGGUUUUGGUGACAAGACCCUUCCUAAAAUCAAUGACGGCGGCCUGUGUGACCCCCGGUACACUGAGCUUCUUAACUGAGCACGUAUCGGAUGAGGGUGCCCGGGACACGGUCCUUCCUCCCUUCAGUGGGAAAGUUUUCUAA
RNAcentral lists this unclassified non-coding RNA (179 nucleotides) under uncultured Herpotrichiellaceae. Its description in RNAcentral is "sequence contains ITS2". Lineage: Eukaryota; Fungi; Ascomycota; Eurotiomycetes; Chaetothyriales; Herpotrichiellaceae. The record is from RNAcentral.